This 496-nucleotide ribosomal RNA is filed under the name uncultured bacterium. RNAcentral's name for it is "partial 16S ribosomal RNA". It matches the Rfam family "Bacterial small subunit ribosomal RNA", at positions 28 to 506 of the family's 1533-position model. The record is from RNAcentral.
GACGAACGCUGGCGGCGUGCCUAAUACAUGCAAGUUGAGCGCUGAAGGUUGGUACUUGUACCAACUGGAUGAGCAGCGAACGGGUGAGUAACGCGUGGGGAAUCUGCCUUUGAGCGGGGGACAACAUUUGGAAACGAAUGCUAAUACCGCAUAAAAACUUUAAACACAAGUUUUAAGUUUGAAAGAUGCAAUUGCAUCACUCAAAGAUGAUCCCGCGUUGUAUUAGCUAGUUGGUGAGGUAAAGGCUCACCAAGGCGAUGAUACAUAGCCGACCUGAGAGGGUGAUCGGCCACAUUGGGACUGAGACACGGCCCAAACUCCUACGGGAGGCAGCAGUAGGGAAUCUUCGGCAAUGGACGAAAGUCUGACCGAGCAACGCCGCGUGAGUGAAGAAGGUUUUCGGAUCGUAAAACUCUGUUGGUAGAGAAGAACGUUGGUGAGAGUGGAAAGCUCAUCGAGUGACGGUAACUACCCAGAAAGGGACGGCUAACUACGU